GGUGGGGCCAGUGCUAGGGAAAUGGAAGCUUGAGGCCAGCAUCACACAAACCCAGCACCGCGGCCAUGGUUCAAGUCUCUGCGUUCCAAACCCAGACAUUUUAAUCUUCCUGCUAUGUUUGUUCAGAGCCCCCAUGACCACGGAGUAUCCAGAGACAUUAGCUGACAUGCUUCCAUGAGGUUUGAGAGAUGGAUUCAAAGUGAGCAUAUAUCGGUGCACAGAGUAACUUCAGAGCAGCUUGGAUGAAGAGCUGCCCCACCCCAUCCCUAGAAACAGUAUUGUGCUCAACCCCCAAAAAUCUCAGGGUGUGAUGAGUUUCUACCUUUAACCCCAAGUAGGACUCUCAAGUUUCUCUCAGUGUUCCGUGAAAGGCCAACUGUGCACUCCAAAAGGGACAAGGUGAACUGUCCCCAGCAGCUUAGACUAAUUUAGAAAAUGCCAGAAGCUACACAGCCUAAAUUUCCUGAUCAACUUUAAGAGAAAUAAGACUUGUGAUUUCAUCUUUGACUAAGCCUGGUUCACCUCUUAUUUGAUUUCUAAGUUGAAGAGAAAAAGAACACUUUUACGCGUCUUCUCUGGAAGCCUCCUUCCCUUUCAAAAGGAAAACAAACACAGUUCUACUUUGCAAACCGGGAGAGCAGUUGUAAUCAGCUACUUGGCUAAAGAAACUCAAUUCCAGAGUCAGUCUGGAGUAAGGGGAGGUUUGCUUUCUUACUAAUGGGAGCCCAUGGGGUGCAGAGACUUCAGGUGGGAGAUGAUGCAAUCUAUUGAUUAUCCGGGGACCGCUCAUAAAAAAGUCAGAUUCACAAGCCCUCAAACUCACUUGUGUUGUUCACAGGGGGCUGAUUUCCCCCUUGACUCUGAUCAAGUUGUCCCAUCAUACCUGCUUGCAAGGCAUGUGGUCUUCACACCCGAACCUCUUAAAGCUGGAAAUGGGAGUUAAGUAAAAACUAAGGACAGCUAACCUUGAGUAGAAUCAUAAAAAAUUAGACAGGACAACAUGGACUAAAU
Myodes glareolus (Bank vole) is the source of this 1011-nucleotide long non-coding RNA. RefSeq lists it as uncharacterized. The record is from RefSeq and is a predicted model, not a curated record. NCBI's taxonomy places the organism in Eukaryota, Metazoa, Chordata, Mammalia, Rodentia, Cricetidae.